RNAcentral lists this ribosomal RNA (465 nucleotides) under uncultured bacterium. RNAcentral's name for it is "partial 16S ribosomal RNA". It matches the Rfam family "Bacterial small subunit ribosomal RNA", at positions 36 to 507 of the family's 1533-position model. The record is from RNAcentral.
GCCUCCCUCUUUCUUCGUGCUUAACACAUGCAAGUCGAACGGAAAGGCCCUGCUUGCAGGGUACUCGAGUGGCGAACGGGUGAGUAACACGUGGGUGAUCUGCCCUGCACUUCGGGAUAAGCCUGGGAAACUGGGUCUAAUACCGGAUAGGAGCCAUUUUUAGUGUGAUGGUUGGAAAGUUUUUUCGGUGUAGGAUGAGCUCGCGGCCUAUCAGCUUGUUGGUGGGGUAAUGGCCUACCAAGGCGGCGACGGGUAGCCGGCCUGAGAGGGUGGACGGCCACAUUGGGACUGAGAUACGGCCCAGACUCCUACGGGAGGCAGCAGUGGGGAAUAUUGCACAAUGGGCGCAAGCCUGAUGCAGCGACGCCGCGUGGGGGAUGACGGCCUUCGGGUUGUAAACUCCUUUCGCUAGGGACGAAGCUUUUUGUGACGGUACCUAGAUAAGAAGCACCGGCUAACUACGUG